Molecule: ribosomal RNA, 520 nt
Filed under: uncultured bacterium
Lineage: Bacteria
Description: bacterial SSU rRNA
Rfam family: Bacterial small subunit ribosomal RNA
Source: RNAcentral
GAUUAUGGCUCAGAUUGAACGCUGGCGGCGUGCUUAACACAUGCAAGUCGCGCGUGAAAGGACUUCGGUCCGAGUAAAGCGGCGCACGGGUGAGUAACGCGUGGAUGAUCUACCCAUGAGUUAGGAAUAACGGCUGGAAACGGUCGCUAAUACCAAAUACGCUCCGAUUUCAACUUCGGGGGAAAGGUGGCCUCUGCUUGCAAGCUACUGCUCAUGGAUGAGUCCGCGUCCCAUUAGCUAGUUGGUGGGGUAACGGCCCACCAAGGCGACGAUGGGUAGCCGGUCUGAGAGGAUGACCGGCCACACUGGGACUGGAACACGGCCCAGACUCCUACGGGAGGCAGCAGUGGGGAAUAUUGCGCAAUGGGCGAAAGCCUGACGCAGCGACGCCGCGUGGAAGGGAUGAAGGUCCUCGGAUCGUAAACCUCUGUCAGGAGGGAAGAACCGCCACGGUGCUAAUCAGCCGUGGUCUGACGGUACCUCCAAAGGAAGCACCGGCUAACUCCGUGCCAGCAGCCGC